UACGUAGGGUGCAAGCGUUGUCCGGAAUUAUUGGGCGUAAAGAGCUCGUAGGCGGUUUGUCGCGUCUGCUGUGAAAAUCCAGGGCUUAACCCUGGACCUGCAGUGGGUACGGGCAGACUGGAGUGCGGUAGGGGAGAUCGGAAUUCCUGGUGUAGCGGUGAAAUGCGCAGAUAUCAGGAGGAACACCGGUGGCGAAGGCGGAUCUCUGGGCCGUAACUGACGCUGAGACGCGAAAGCGUGGGGAGCAAACAGG
This 253-nucleotide ribosomal RNA is filed under the name uncultured bacterium. RNAcentral's name for it is "partial 16S ribosomal RNA". It matches the Rfam family "Bacterial small subunit ribosomal RNA", at positions 524 to 776 of the family's 1533-position model. The record is from RNAcentral.